UCGAUAGAAAAGAGCGGCGAUUUGCAAUGGACCGUAAGAGAUCUUUAGCGAAAUAAUAUGGACUUACUGCUGUUUCGUCCGAAAUGACGUCUAUUUUUCCGCACUUACUGCUCCCUUACUUUCUUUUUAAAAUUUUUUAUAAUUUAUGGUGUUUUAACUAAAUCUCACUUAAGAUCAUUAUAGGAUCUAGGAUUUUAAGAUCUUUAAGGUCAUAAAAAUUACAUUAUUCGAGUUUUAGGGGGGAACUCGAUGUUGAAAAUUUGGUCGUUCUCUUCGGUAACACGGCACCAAAGGUAUGACGCAACGCAUCAAUGACACCGUUUGCCCGUAUAUCAUUAGCCAAGGCGUCAAGGCCUCUUAACGGCAUCAAGUACAGCUAAGUCCACAAACUUCGAGCGAUAAAAAACGAGCCAUUCCACUAUUUGUUUUUACGCUAAUGUGCUGCAAUACGAAGCCGGGUGCUUUUUAAACAAUAAUUUAGUCGUGAGAGAUGACUCCCCAAUGGCGAACCACACCAAGCGUCUCCGAGGUUACCCCGCUAACACAGCCAUCCUGAUAGCAGCCCAGCUUGUUUUUUCCCGCAAUUUAUUCUUGGUGAGCUCCUAUUGGUGACAAAAAGUUUUGGAUGGUCUGUUCAAGUACACUCCAUCACCGAAAAUUGUGCUCGUCGAAAAUGAAAGAUUGCCCCAUUCGAACUGAAACUUAAUCCAUUGCUGGUACUAUCGUUUUAUUUUUUUUUCGUCCAGCAAAUAGUAAUUCAGGUUUUCCUGUACGGUGCUAGGUUCUGAUACGCGCUGAAUCUUCCGUAUCACAACAAACUGGACUCUCUUUCGAGACGAACCGGGAAAGAGUCACAGAAUACUACCGGAAACUAAUGACCUGGUCAUCCGGGCAGUACGUAAUGCAGUGGAGAAAACCAAGCUACGCAGGAACCCCGAACUUGGAAGUCCAAAAGCCCGGAACCAGGUUGCAAGUCAGAUCCGAAGACGAGGACAAAGAUCCCACAGUGCCACCGCCACCCCCGAAGACGGUCGAGUUCGAGGAAGAUGGGGAUCCCAUGUACGGGAAGCCGGUGGCUUAUGUGAUGGACCCGCACGAGGACCAGCUCAACGAGCGGAUCGAAGCCAAUGGGGUGGAGAUCUGGGCGAGCAACCCUUGCCAAUGGUACAACGCCGGCAAGGAUUCGCACCCGAACAAAAAGCGAAUGAAGCACUGUAACGACGCCAAGGAGCAUCUCGAAAAAGCCGGCUUCAAGGACGGUGACAGCUCUCUCUGCCCCAAGAUAGAUGGCGCCGACUGCUUCCAGGUCAAAGACAAAUUCCAAUCCGGCCGUUGCUACGCACGGGUCGUCUCCGGUAACAACCAGCACCACUACGUUCUCAUGAACAACUGCGUCCGGGACUGGAUGAAGACCAAGCACAUCCGCGGGACGGAAUGGCCGACGGCCAACGCGAACAGCACCCUCCCUGCCACUCCUGAGGUACCCCAUGAGCCGACGGACAUACUAUCCGACGGAGACCCAAAGUACCGGCAACCGGAAGAACGCUCUGACGACCCACCCGACGAUGUCCUUGACCGCGAGAUGAAGGUCAACGGACACACAAUCUGGUUCCGCAACCCUUGCGAUGACUACGGUCGAGACACGCACUCCGGUGAGAACCGCGAUCGGCGACAAGGCUGCCACAAGAUUGCACAGGCCAUACACGACGCAGGCUUCAAGAACGGCCAGUCGAAGCUUUGUCCACAGAUCGACGGCGCUGAUUGCUUCCAGUUCUUCGAGAAGGAAAAAGACGGCCGUUGCUACGCCAAGGUCAAGGCACCGGACGGUCUCAAGUACGUUCUCUUCUAUAGUUGCGUCCGCGACUGGCAGAAGCAAAAUAACCUCACGCACGAGGCGAAACUGAUCCCCGAGGGCGCCGGCUAUUACAAUCAACCUGAAUUGAAGCCGACUGAUCCGUCCGACGAAGAGAUGGAUCAGGAUCUCAAGGUGGGGCACACGACGAUCUGGGAGACAAACCCGUGUCGCUACUUCGCGCAUAUUGAUUGGGAUGAUGAAGAUAAAGAUAAGGAGGACCUCCGACGCUUGGAUGAUUGUCGCAAUGCGGUGCGGUUCAUGAAGGAGGCCGGCUUUGCGAAUGGGAAGUCUAAGUUGUGUCCGCAGAUCGACGGAGCGAAUUGUUUCCAGUUCAAAGAUUUGGUUAAGUCGGGGCGAUGCUAUGCCAAGGUCAACACGGGGAAGGAGAGGAAGUAUAUUUUGUUGUACGACUGCGUGAAGGACUGGCAGAAGGGAACCAGUGGAAGUGGCGGAAGUAACGGAAGUGACGGAAAUAAUGGAACAAGUGAGUAAAGGGUUGGCUAAUCAGGAACCUCUGGUCUCUGGUGUUGACGCGUAAUCGCCGACUCUCGUCUCAUACGUACAUAAGAACCGGUUUCAGAAUGCUCUCUGGCGCUCUGCGGCAUCCAACCGCCGUAUAAUUCAAAUUGUUGAAGUAGUUAGAUGAAAAUAUCAUUACCAAUUUUUUUUCCACAUCUUCAAAAGUUCUACUCGUUUUCAUGUAAAUGACUCGAUUUUGCCGAAAGUAUAAGAUACGACCCUUCUGAUCUGAGCUACUAAUGAGUGCAGAGGAUUUCAAUUAAUUUACAUCAGAAAAUCUUUAAAAAAUGCCUUAAAAUAUUCUCUUUUAAAUUGCUCGUGUACCUAAUUACUAUAGCAAAUUGCUGUAUAAAGUUGUGAACCCCUUCCCAUCAGAAUCGACCUCCUUGCUUUUCCGCAUGGCUUGCUUUCAUUACAGUCUUAGUGCAUGUGCCGCUGCGCUGAAGAAAAAAACAUAUGAGCAGUUGAACCUUUCCAAUUUCCUCCGAAUAAAAUAUUAAAUUUUGGAACAAGUAACGAGUAUUUUCCUAAUAAUAUUUGUAUUCAGCAGCACUAGGAAAACUCAGGAAUACAAUUUUCUGGAAAAUAUUGAGCGUAGUUCACAUUAAGUUUUAUUAAAAAUUCAUAUUGUAUCAAAAAGAGUUGGGCAACGUCUGGCUCAGCGGCGAUUUUACAAGUUGGCAACUCUGUUUUUUCUCAAUUUGUAUCCAUUAAAAAUAUCGAUUCUUGAUAAGGCAAGCUGUUUCACCAAGAAUCGAUUUGUUUUAUAUACAUUUGAAUGGAAGAAAAACAGUGUUGCUAAGUUUCAAGAAUCGCCACUGGUCCGACUGUUCAUAUGACGUUUUUUCCUUAGGUACCAUGACAGCAUAGUCCUCGGCUGACUAUAUACUCUUUAGCCCGGGCUCUCCAAAAAGGGGAUUUUCUCAAAAUCACACUCAAUGCUUCUUUCUUUUGUAUCCCCUAAAUUCGUAUUUUUUUUAGCCAGCAUAUUCAAUAUUUGAUUCGAAGUGUUUGGUACAUAUUUAAUACAUUUUGAAGCUCUGGUGCCUCAGUUCACUCGUAGUUAUGUACAAAUAAUAACAUUUCAUGGAACAGGUUGCUUUGCUUUAAGCAAAUGUUGCUUCAUGAUAUUUCUACCUGUUUUUUAAAAAUACCUGUGCAUCAAUAGCUUUAAAAAAAAACAAUUUUUACUGUGAACCAUAGACAGUAUAUUUCAGAGACCUCUUAUUGCUUUCUUCUCUAUGUAAAGUGUAAGAGUUACUUCCAGGAAUCAGCGCUCAGAUUCGCCAAAUGAUGAUUGAUGAACAAAGAGUUAAGCAAGUAGUGUAACGAUCCUACCCUAAUAAUUUGCGAAAAUUUGUUCACCAUUGAGUGCUCAACCCGACAUUCAUCAAUCAUUAUUACGGGUAUUUUAUUUGAAUUAUUGCUGAAUACGUGCUCUUCAAUCAUCGGUAAAAUUCCGAACAAAGGCGCAAACCCCAUAUACGCGAAUGAAAAUUUGCCCUUUCGAGGCGGUGGAAGCAAGGGUUCGUUUGCACGAAUAACUGCCAUUGAAGCUUGAGGAAAGGAGACAAGAACAAUUUUAUCGAGUUUAGAAAGCUGAUAGCAAUGUUACAUUAUUUUUUAAUGUCGUGUUUUUAAAUAGUCCCUGUCCAAAAUAAGACGAUCGAUAGCUUAAAAGUUCAGUGAUAUGUUUGUGACGGUUGUUACAUCAAAGCCCGAGAAUACAAAUAAAGAAAAGCUCGAGAAGAAAUAUGUACUUGAUUAUUGACAACGCCUUACCUAGAAUUGGACGUAUUUCUACCAAACGGAAUUAUGUGCAUUAUGACGUGAGCCCUGUUAUGCAUAUAUUCUUAUGGGUCUCAGGGCUCAUGUCUUAAUGCACAUAGUUCUGUUUGACAGAAAUACGUCCAAUUUUAUGUGAGGAACUUUAAGCCGGCCGAAUUUUAGCACCGAAUUGAGGAGUGAGAGAAACGAACAGAGCACCCUCAGUUAGUAUCGUAUGCAACGAACUUUGCGAAUUUCAUUCUAACGCAUUGAUGCAAUUAUUCGAGCUCCACGGCUGUCCGUGUUGCAUACUCAUGAAAGUGAAGGCGUUUCAACUUUUCCCCCACAGCAUGACGGCGCAGCUGGCUAUACUGCGAGGAUCCGAAUGCAGAAAUGACAGGGACUUCUGAAUGACAAGGGCUAUUCUUCGUUUGUAAUACAAAGACAUUUACUAAGCACGUAUAGUUGCACAAAUGCGUAGGAUGUGAGUAUCUUUUGUGCUUCAGUUUUUGAUGUAGCAAUGCGCUGAGCAUGAUUUUUAGCGCAACUAUUCGUGGUUAAGAGAUAUCUUUGUAGUAUUAAAGAGGAAUUUAAAGCACUCUGUCGUUUUUGAUCCUCGUAAAUUCGUAGUACAGUCCGCUGCCGCACCUUGCCCCGAUUGAAGCGGUGAGUGCCUGCAGCCAAAACCGCCUUCUCUUCAGUGCGUAUGCAACACGCACAUUCGUGGGGCUCGAAUAGUUGCAUCCAGUCGUUGAAUCGAGAUUCGCUCGGUGUUUUUUGCAUAUGAUACUCCUUAACUCCACGCCGAUUGUGCCGAUGAAGUUAACUUAUACUGAUUUUUUUCGCAACAUUGUCAAUUUUCCGAAAAAUGCAUUGAUUGUUUAAAUAUACCUCAACGUGCCAACCCUUAAAAUAGCCAAAAAUUUAAGUAUCUGAACAAGAUUUGUUUGAUUGGGUUUUCUUUAACUUACAUUAACGAGUCGUCCUUCGCUCGGAUUAUUUUGUCCUUCUGGAAAAAUAAUUUUGGCGUUUUAGUGCGAAAUUAAAGAACAAUUCUCGAAGCCGCCCUAAAGUUCCUCCCCUAAAAUCCUGGCUCAGGCGCAUACGUUUCUUCUUGAGGAGAUUCGUCAGGGUUUUUGGCGUGGUCGAACUGGCGCGCACAUGCGAUACAGAAAUCGAUAGCUGUAUCGAAUGCGAAGUUUACUUCCGAAACAGACCCUGCUUUUAUUUCUCGGAAUUUUGCAAAUGUUUUGGUUUAGGAUGAUUCUUUUGGCUCAUGCCCACUGCGCAGGGGUUAAAGUCUUUUUUUUUGCCUGAAAUUUCUUAAUGAUCUGAAUUUUUAAUGAUUCGAUGCGAUGCAUCACACACCAGUUCGACCACGUCAGAAUCCAUGACGAAUCACGUACCUUAAUUCCUUCAUCUAGGUAUAUUUUUGGCUGUAUGGGGCGAGUCUCGGACACUCUCGUUUUAUGCUUAUUGGUGUCUCUUACUUGUGGGGUUUGCGCUUUUGAGUCCCAACCCAAUCAUCAACGUUGACCUCCGAACUUAACUUUUGACCAACUCGAUUACAUUGCUGGGAUUGUAAGUGCGGGGUCUCUAAAAUAUACUGCCUUUCAUUGUGAAAUUUUUCUUGAUAUUAGUGUAAAAAGUUGGUCAUAUUGUUGUAGGUACAGAUGACGACUACGACUACCCGUCCGAACCGUCCGGAACGUAUUCAACAGGAAGUUGAAUAAAAUGUAAAACAAGACCGGAGGGGAGAUCAAACAGAAAAUUACAAUAUACAAAAUUACAAAUAAUUACAGUAAAUUUAAAUUUAACUCUGCACUUAUCAUCUUGUACUGCCUAAAAUUAUUAUUUACUCUUUCAUCAAACUGAAGAAAUGCCCAUACAAAACAUAGGCAAAAUUAAAAACCUAAAAAUUUGGAGUAAAAUCACUUGAACUCUUAAAUUAGAAAAAUUUUGAGUAGUACCUACCUCUACAGGUAUUUUUCCGUAAAUAUGAGUUCUCAAGUCUCAUGCCAAAACAAUAAUUGGAACGUACAAUUUUAAAUAAUUUCAAACGUCAAAAUUUAAAGGGACAAUAUUCUAGGAGGUAUCUUCGCUGUCAAGAGAUGAUUUAUACAUCAUCUCUGAAAGAAAUAAAAAUUAUUAUAAAUGAUCGGUGAUCGAAGUCCUACCUGUAGAUGGCUACAAAGUCGAAGAAAAUGAAUUUACGAUUGCACCGCUGCUGCGUUUUAUUACAGUUUAAAAAGAAAACCAACCAAUAUGUUUCCCUGAAAUGUUACAUCCACUCAUACAUUCAGAAAUAUCGAUAAAAUAUUCCAGGGUUUCUUGUAAAGUUUUCUUUUAAAUGUUAAAAACUAAUUUUGGACAGAUAUUGCACCGUUGUGUACUCUCGAAAGAAGUGAAUCGUUUGAGUUGAUUUUGCAAUCAUUGAGUUAAGUUACAUUCCUUCGUUCAACAAGCGACGAAUUUUGCUAUCCCGGCCGUGACUAAGCGCUAACUACAAUUUUUUUCCUACCGGGAGAAACGCAUCUUGCAUGUUAUCAAUGAAAUGAGAGAGUAUACCCAAACACGCAUUGUAUAUAUAUACGUUAUAAUUUAUUAUACGUACUUUUUAAAUUAUGUAAUUUUGUUCUAUCUUUUUAUUUUUUGAAAGCCUCACUACAGCGCUGAAUAAAAACGCCGUUUAUAAUCAGUACCAUAGAGCCAAAAGGUACCUAAGUCACAUUUUGGAGAAAAAUCGAGUUAGUGUCGUUUUGAAAAUCUCCAAUAACGGUUUCGUGCGUGUGGAAAAUUUGGUAGCCCUAUCUUACGCCGGUUAUGAGAUGAUACGGAAUUUCAAAAAUUACGAUUUACUUUGGAAUUAAUUGGGCCGACGCACGGGUUUUCCCUGCUAUCUGAGAAUGACUAAAAUGGAGUUCAGUACCUUUUGACUCUGGGGUACUAAAUUUGGGCUUUGGCAAAUUUCCUCUGAUAAAAGAUUUAACUUUAUGCAAGGUCAGUAAUGUUUUCCCUUGGCAUUUUCACAUACACUGGGGGGAAAAUUACCUGAAUUUGCGGUUAGGAGGAUUUCAUUUAAAUCAAGGAUCCAAUUUCUUCCUCACAAACAUUUUU
Molecule: long non-coding RNA, 7258 nt
Filed under: Bemisia tabaci
Lineage: Eukaryota; Metazoa; Arthropoda; Insecta; Hemiptera; Aleyrodidae
Description: lncRNA ENSSSA1UGG004439
Source: RNAcentral